GGGGUUGUGGCUCACCGGUAGAGCACUUGCCUAGCAUGUGCAAGGCCCUCAGUUCAAUUCUAAGCACCACA
RNAcentral lists this transfer RNA (71 nucleotides) under Marmota monax (woodchuck). Its description in RNAcentral is "tRNA.Ala". Lineage: Eukaryota; Metazoa; Chordata; Mammalia; Rodentia; Sciuridae. The record is from RNAcentral.